This 417-nucleotide ribosomal RNA is filed under the name uncultured bacterium. RNAcentral describes it as "bacterial SSU rRNA". It matches the Rfam family "Bacterial small subunit ribosomal RNA", at positions 917 to 1333 of the family's 1533-position model. The record is from RNAcentral.
GGGCCCGCACAAGCAGUGGAGCAUGUGGUUUAAUUCGAUGCAACGCGAAGAACCUUACCAGGCCUUGACAUCCUCGGAACUUUCUAGAGAUAGAUUGGUGCCUUCGGGAACCGAGUGACAGGUGCUGCAUGGCUGUCGUCAGCUCGUGUCGUGAGAUGUUGGGUUAAGUCCCGUAACGAGCGCAACCCUUGUCUUUAGUUGCCAGCACAUUAUGGUGGGAACUCUAAGGAGACUGCCGGGGUCAACUCGGAGGAAGGUGGGGACGACGUCAAGUCAUCAUGCCCCUUAUAUCCAGGGCUGCAAACAUGCUACAAUGGCCGGUACAAAGGGCUGCGAGACCGCGAGGUUAAGCGAAUCCCACAAAGCCGGUCUCAGUUCGGAUUGGAGUCUGCAACUCGACUCCAUGAAGCUGGAGUC